GGGCCCGCACAAGCGGUGGAGUAUGUGGUUUAAUUCGAUGCAACGCGAAGAACCUUACCAGGGUUUGACAUCCUGCGAAUCUCUUGGAAACAGGAGAGUGCCUUCGGGAACGCAGUGACAGGUGGUGCAUGGCUGUCGUCAGCUCGUGUCGUGAGAUGUUGGGUUAAGUCCCGCAACGAGCGCAACCCACGUCUUUAGUUGCCAGCAUUUAGUUGGGCACUCUAGAGAGACUGCCGGUGCAAACCGUGAGGAAGGUGGGGAUGACGUCAAAUCAUCACGGCCCUUACGUCCUGGGCUACACACGUGCUACAAUGGUCGGUACAGAGAGCAGCCACUACGCGAGUAGGAGCGAA
This 353-nucleotide ribosomal RNA is filed under the name uncultured bacterium. RNAcentral's name for it is "bacterial SSU rRNA". It matches the Rfam family "Bacterial small subunit ribosomal RNA", at positions 917 to 1271 of the family's 1533-position model. The record is from RNAcentral.